This 494-nucleotide long non-coding RNA is filed under the name Hordeum vulgare. Its description in RNAcentral is "long non-coding RNA (HVUL_LNC013178)". Lineage: Eukaryota; Viridiplantae; Streptophyta; Magnoliopsida; Poales; Poaceae. The record is from RNAcentral.
AAUACAAGCUGGGUCAUGAGGAGAUAAAAGCCACAAAUGGCGACCCUGAUCAAGAACACAAGCGUGUUUUGUGAGAUUAUGUGCAUCUAUAUUAGAUGCUCUACUUUAAAUUAAAAAAAGCAACUAUUAAAAGCCGAACUUCUAACAGAAAUCUCUCCGAUUACAGAUAAACAAACCCCUUCAGUACUGCCUUUAAUAUCAUCCAUCACCCAUUUACAGCCGCUAGCCACCACGAAGUUCUGGAGGGAUAAAUCUUGGGCCAACGCAAAGCGCCUCGCGGCAAGCAAUAGCAUCCAAAGCUGCCGCAUCCAGCACUACUGGAAUGACCAACGAUAACGAUGACGAUCCCAAGUAAAAGCCGCGUUCAUCCCCGCAAACUCGUGAGUCGUGGCGCCCUCACCCUCGUGGGGAAUUGAUGGCAGACCCGCAGACGUCGCAUUGAUCCGGAGCGAAAGCCCAUGCGCCCAGAGCCGCGACCGAUAUCUUCUAUCGGC